UUCGAGAAAGGAAAUAAACAAAUUUGUUAGUUUAAUAAUUUCCCAGAUGAGGGUGUACGCUGGGGCGGAACCCUUAAUAGACGAUGCACUGGGAGAGGAAGCAGAGUAUAUCCCAUUGAAUGGUCAACGUACAAACUAUGAUUGUGGAAUAUUCGUAAUGAAAUGGCUGGAAAUAAUAGAUCCACAAAAAAUAAAGAGCGGCAAGAGAUAUAAAUAUAAAGCUU
Non-coding RNA from Arachis ipaensis, 224 nucleotides. NCBI's taxonomy places the organism in Eukaryota, Viridiplantae, Streptophyta, Magnoliopsida, Fabales, Fabaceae. The record is from RefSeq and is a predicted model, not a curated record.